GUCACUUUGGCGGAGUGGUUAACGCGCUGCCCUGCUAACUCAUAAUUAGCAGUCUAAGGCAGUUCCUUCGGGAGCGUAGGUUCGAAUCCUACAGGUGACG
Dichotomopilus funicola is the source of this 100-nucleotide non-coding RNA. Lineage: Eukaryota; Fungi; Ascomycota; Sordariomycetes; Sordariales; Chaetomiaceae. The record is from the annotation of a RefSeq genome assembly.